This 231-nucleotide ribosomal RNA is filed under the name uncultured bacterium. Its description in RNAcentral is "partial 16S ribosomal RNA". It matches the Rfam family "Bacterial small subunit ribosomal RNA", at positions 102 to 334 of the family's 1533-position model. The record is from RNAcentral.
CGACGGGUGAGUAAUACUUAGGAAUCUGCCCAUUAGUGGGGGACAACUCGAGGAAACUCGAGCUAAUACCGCAUACGCCCUACGGGGGAAAGCAGGGGAUCUUCGGACCUUGCGCUAUUGGAUGAGCCUAAGUCGGAUUAGCUUGUUGGUGAGGUAAAGGCUCACCAAGGCGACGAUCCGUAGCUGUUCUGAGAGGAAGAUCAGCCACACUGGGACUGAGACACGGCCCAG